Long non-coding RNA from Lagopus leucura (white-tailed ptarmigan), 883 nucleotides. RefSeq lists it as uncharacterized. NCBI's taxonomy places the organism in Eukaryota, Metazoa, Chordata, Aves, Galliformes, Phasianidae. The transcript has 5 exons. The record is from RefSeq and is a predicted model, not a curated record.
CAUAACAGUUAGAAGAGAGGGCAAUGCGUGAGAACAAGCACAUAAUGUCCAGUGAGUCCUGAAUUCCUCUUUGCAGAUGCAGAAGCUUGUAGCUUGUUGCACAACUUCAGAAGCUGAAGGACAAAGUGGCACUGACCUUUCCCAAAUUAGUUCUUCUGCCAUUAGCCUACUGUACAGAAGGGGAGUCUGUGAUGACAGCAACAUUUUCACUGAAAGAAUAUUCAGUGAGUCAGUGUGGGGCUUACACCCUGUGAAAUGGGGAACAGAAGAACUCUUCACAGCUGUCUGAUACCUUCAGCUCCCAGCUUGAGGAGAGCUCGGUUUAACUAAGUACAUCAGUGCACCCUAUGAGAUACUGGGCUCCCUGUCACCAGAGAGUUGAAAUCUCUCAGAAUCUGAUGGAAUGAAGUCUCAGUUUCAAUAAAACGCUGCUGUGGAGAGUAACCGGCUGCCAUAAAGCCUUUAAUGUGAGCAGCUUUGUGAUCCCACCUGCAGCCCAGCUCCUUCCCCCUCUUCUUCAGGUGGCCACUGUGGUGAACAACCUGCAUCUGGCUGACGUAGCACCUUCCCAUCUGUGGGGCUGCUUAGGUGCCAGUCUGGAAAAAAACCAUUUCAGAACUAUUUCUCUUAAAAACAAGUGUGUUGACAACACGACUUUACAAGACACUUGCACACAGUCCAACACUCAUCAAUACUCAGUGCAUUUAUUUCCAAGAAAGGGAAGACUGAUUUUCUGUCAUUAGGUAUCAGUUCACACUCCUGGGUGAUAAAAGCUGAGGUGGCAGGAAAAUGGAUCAAGAAAACCCUCAUUCACUUUGCCCUCCAAUUUCUCAGCACUGUACGCUUUCUCCUGCCAGGUGUCUAAUAAAUGUUUCUGCCCUGG